RNAcentral lists this ribosomal RNA (375 nucleotides) under uncultured organism. RNAcentral describes it as "partial 16S ribosomal RNA". It matches the Rfam family "Bacterial small subunit ribosomal RNA", at positions 527 to 896 of the family's 1533-position model. The record is from RNAcentral.
GAACCGUACAAACGUUAUUCGGAAUCACUGGGCUUAAAGGGUGCGUAGGCGGGUCCUGCAAGUUGGGGUGUGAAAUCCCUCGGGCUUAACCGAGGGACUGCGCCCAAAACUGCCGGGCUAGAGGGAGACAGAGGUGAGCGGAACUUAGGGUGGAGCGGUGAAAUGCGUUGAUAUCCUAAGGAACACCAGUGGCGAAAGCGGCUCACUGGGUCUCUUCUGACGCUGAGGCACGAAAGCUAGGGGAGCGAACGGGAUUAGAUACCCCGGUAGUCCUAGCUGUAAACGAUGAGCACUUGGCCGGAGGGUCCUCCAUAGCUUUCCGGCCGUAGCGAAAGUGUUAAGUGCUCCGCCUGGGGAGUAUGGUCGCAAAGGCUG